RNAcentral lists this ribosomal RNA (512 nucleotides) under uncultured bacterium. RNAcentral's name for it is "partial 16S ribosomal RNA". It matches the Rfam family "Bacterial small subunit ribosomal RNA", at positions 28 to 507 of the family's 1533-position model. The record is from RNAcentral.
GAUGAACGCUGGCGGCGUGCCUAAUACAUGCAAGUCGAACGAAACUUCUUUAUCACCGAGUGCUUGCACUCACCGAUAAAGAGUUGAGUGGCGAACGGGUGAGUAACACGUGGGCAACCUGCCCAAAAGAGGGGGAUAACACUUGGAAACAGGUGCUAAUACCGCAUAACCAUAGUUACCGCAUGGUAACUAUGUAAAAGGUGGCUAUACUACCGCUUUUGGAUGGGCCCGCGGCGCAUUAGCUAGUUGGUAGGGUAAAGGCUUACCAAGGCAAUGAUGCGUAGCCGAAUUGAGAGGUUGAUCGGCCACAUUGGGACUAAGACACGGCCCAAACUCCUACGGGAGGCAGCAGUAGGGAAUCUUCCACAAUGGGCGAAAGCCUGAUGGAGCAACGCCGCGUGGGUGAAGAAGGUCUUCGGAUCGUAAAACCCUGUUGUUAGAGAAGAAAGUGCGUGAGAGUAACUGUUCACGUUUCGACGGUAUCUAACCGGAAAGCCACGGCUAACUACGUG